RNAcentral lists this ribosomal RNA (254 nucleotides) under uncultured bacterium. Its description in RNAcentral is "partial 16S ribosomal RNA". It matches the Rfam family "Bacterial small subunit ribosomal RNA", at positions 524 to 776 of the family's 1533-position model. The record is from RNAcentral.
UACGUAGGGGGCGAGCGUUGUCCGGAAUUACUGGGCGUAAAGGGUGUGUAGGCGGUUUGACAAGUUAGAAGUGUAAUACCUAGGGCUUAACUCAGGUGCUGCUUCUAAAACUGUCAGACUUGAGUGCAGGAGAGGUAAGCGGAAUUCCUAGUGUAGCGGUGGAAUGCGUAGAUAUUAGGAGGAACAUCAGUGGCGAAGGCGGCUUACUGGCCUGUAACUGACGCUGAGGCACGAAAGCGUGGGGAGCAAACAGG